UACGUAGGGCGCAAGCGUUAUCCGGAAUUAUUGGGCGUAAAGAGCUCGUAGGCGGUUUGUCGCGUCUGCCGUGAAAGCCCAGGGCUUAACCCUGGGUCUGCGGUGGGUACGGGCAGACUAGAGUGUGGUAGGGGAGACUGGAAUUCCUGGUGUAGCGGUGAAAUGCGCAGAUAUCAGGAGGAACACCGAUGGCGAAGGCAGGUCUCUGGGCCACUACUGACGCUGAGAAGCGAAAGCAUGGGGAGCAAACAGG
RNAcentral lists this ribosomal RNA (253 nucleotides) under uncultured bacterium. RNAcentral's name for it is "partial 16S ribosomal RNA". It matches the Rfam family "Bacterial small subunit ribosomal RNA", at positions 524 to 776 of the family's 1533-position model. The record is from RNAcentral.